AUAUGUACCUGGCAGGGGAGAUACCAUGAUCACAAAGGUGGUUUUCCCAGGGCGAGGCUUAACCAUUUACUCCAGAUGUGCUGAGAGAUUUCCCCAAAUGUAGGAAACUUGACUGCAUAAUUUGUGGUUAGUGGGGGCCUGUGUUUGCACUCCCCCCCC
Small nuclear RNA from Callorhinus ursinus (northern fur seal), 159 nucleotides. RefSeq annotates it as U1 spliceosomal RNA. The record is from RefSeq and is a predicted model, not a curated record. NCBI's taxonomy places the organism in Eukaryota, Metazoa, Chordata, Mammalia, Carnivora, Otariidae.